GUCCUUUAGUUUAGAAUUUAAGGUCUGGCCUGCCCACUGAUAUUUUUAAUGGCCGCAGUAAUUUGACUGUGCAAAGGUAGCAUAAUCAUUAGUUUUUUAAUUAAAAGCUUGAAUGAAUGGUUGGACGAAAUAAAGUCUGUCUCUUAAUAAUAUUUAGAAUUUAAUUUUUAAGUUAAAAAGCUUAAAUUUUUAUAAAAGACGAGAAGACCCCAUAGAUUUUUAUAAUUUUUUUUAUAUUUUUAAUUAAGAAUACUUUAUUAAUUAUAAAUUAAAUUAUUAUAUUGGGGUAAUAGGAAGAUUAGUUAAAUUCUUUUUAUAAAUAUUUUCAAUGAUUUUUGUUUUUGUGAUCCUUUUUUAUAGAUUAAAAGAUUAAGUUACCUUGGGGAUAACAGCGUAAUUUUUUUAGAGAGUUCUUAUCGAAAAAAAAGUUUGCGACCUCGAUGUUGGAUUAAAAGUUUUUCUGGGUGUAGAAGUUCGGAGGUUUGGUCUGUUCGACCAUUAAAUUUUU
RNAcentral lists this ribosomal RNA (508 nucleotides) under Tiporus josepheni. Its description in RNAcentral is "partial 16S ribosomal RNA". The stretch from base 385 to 508 matches the Rfam family "Bacterial large subunit ribosomal RNA", at positions 2473 to 2597 of the family's 2925-position model. Lineage: Eukaryota; Metazoa; Arthropoda; Insecta; Coleoptera; Dytiscidae. The record is from RNAcentral.